Molecule: long non-coding RNA, 1233 nt
Organism: Cyprinus carpio carpio
Lineage: Eukaryota; Metazoa; Chordata; Actinopteri; Cypriniformes; Cyprinidae
Source: Ensembl
AUUUUUUUGUGAUUAAGAAUUUGUCGUAGAAAUAAUAGUAGUUCUAAAAUAUAAUUUCUUGUUUAUUUCUUUUGAUUUAGAACUGAAAUAUGAUAAAUUUGUUGAGAUUCACCCUGUUUUGCUUUGCUUCGUUAUGUCUGAAAUCUUCAGACGUUAAAAUCAAAAAUGCCAAGAAUCGAUUUCUUCUGGAAGUAUUUCGGACGCAGAAAGUUCGAAGACAUUUUAACAAACUUAAAGGUGUCUUCUUUGUCUUUCCUGCGGCGUUGCCAACUUCCUGAAUAAUUUGCUUAUGUUUGCACCAAAUUUUGAGUUGAAGUUGUACGUUAAAUUUUCUUCGAAUGUUCACUAAAGUUCAUUACUGAUGAUGAUUAUUCACGAAGUAUCUCUCGUGAAUCGAUCUGUUAAUCACCGCUGAUUAGUGUUGGUUUUUAAUUUAAGUAUUUCACACAUGUGAACAGUUGCCUUAAAUAUAAAGUUUUGACAUUUGCAUGCCGUUUUUUUCCCCCGAAUUCUUUAUUUCUAAACGUCCCUCUCAGGCGAUUCAUAUAAUAUAUAAAUAAAUAAAUAAAUAAAGAUAUAAUAAAUGGUAGUUUGUAGAAACAGCUCGAUGCUGCCACCCAGAAAACAAGUUGAAAUGAAGUUUGUGCAAUUGAUGUUAUUAACGAUCUUUUAUUCGCAGAUUAAACUUCGGCGAGGAGCUCUAAUAGUUGAUUUCCGCUUUAUGAAUUUCUGUUUUACCGCUUCAUCGUCUGCUGUUCUUCCAUAUCUUCAUCACAUCCAGUGUGAGAGAUAUUAAAUAUGUCGUAUUCUUCGUCUUCUGCAGUAUGAAUGUUAGUGUGUUCACACUUAAUCGUAAACUUUGAUUCGUUUCGUUAGACGUCGCUUGUUGCCAAAUCCUUUCUGGGAGUUCUUCCACUUUAACGACAGACAGCGCUCAUUAAAUCUCUUGGAUGGAAACGUCCGAUGAUAUCUGUGUUUGUUUAGUUUUUUCUGUCAUGACAUACGCAUUCAGUCGAUAUUUCCAGUGAUGUAAAAACCGCCUGUUUCUGACUCGUAACAAACUGUUGGUUUGAUUGUAACAUUGCUCUGACUUUUGAAUAAAAGCACCUGUAAAAUAAAGAUUGCUAUAUUUAUGAUAACUGGUGUUUGUUUUUGUUGUACUUACCCAAAGCUUAUAGAACAUGUAAAUAUAUUGUACAAAUAGGCCACAGACUUACAAAUAAAAUACAGCUG